This 468-nucleotide long non-coding RNA is filed under the name Terrapene triunguis (Three-toed box turtle). RNAcentral's name for it is "Terrapene carolina triunguis (Three-toed box turtle) lncRNA (ENSTMTG00000021449.1)". Lineage: Eukaryota; Metazoa; Chordata; Testudines; Emydidae. The record is from RNAcentral.
GUAAAUACCUAUAGCUGGACAGUUCAAAGAAAGGGCUUCAUAAUGUUCUUGACGGUUAAGUUCUUUGGUACAAGCUUUUUUUGAUUUCCCUGGAUUUCAGUCUGAUGUGCCUUUAGCCUCACAAAGUAUGCAUUAUUAUGUAAUAGUUACAUGUGAAAAGAAACCGGAAUCGCUGGCGGAGAAUCCUGACUAUUUCCACUGGGCCUGAAUAGUUCAGCCAGUUGAUUAAAAGAAAACCAGAACCUGGAAGUGCAGAAGACAAAUUCCUCUGGCACAAUGAGCUCUGCCAUUCCCGUGCGGGAUUCCACUGUCGAGAGGGCCACAAGAAGUUUUCAUAAUGAAAAACAAACCCUGGUUUCAGGUUGUCAUUUCCCCUCCCCUCUGGACUGGGGGCAGAGCAGGACUGGGUGGCACUCUCUCCCCGCCCCCCUGGGGGCUGGCCCGGGCCCCACUGUGCACCCUCCCAAC